CAGAACGACGCUGGCGGCGCGCCUAAUACAUGCAAGUCGAGCGAGAAGGUGUAGCAAUACACUUGUAAAGCGGCGAACGGGUGAGGAAUACAUGGGUAAUCUACCAUCGAGUGGGGAAUAACCAGCCGAAAGGUUGGCUAAUACCGCGUACGCUUCCGAGUCUUCGGGCUUGGAAGGAAAGCCGCACUGUGAGUGCGGCGCUCUUUGAUGAGCUCAUGUCCUAUCAGCUUGUUGGUAGGGUAACGGCCUACCAAGGCUUUGACGGGUAGCUGGUCUGAGAGGACGAUCAGCCACACUGGCACUGCGACACGGGCCAGACUCCUACGGGAGGCAGCAGUAAGGAAUAUUGCGCAAUGGGCGAAAGCCUGACGCAGCGACGCCGCGUGGGGGAUGAAGGUCUUCGGAUUGUAAACCCCUUUCGGGAGGGAAGAUGGAGCGAGCAAUCGUUCGGACGGUACCUCCAGAAGCAGCCACGGCCAACUUCGUG
Molecule: ribosomal RNA, 487 nt
Filed under: uncultured bacterium
Lineage: Bacteria
Description: bacterial SSU rRNA
Rfam family: Bacterial small subunit ribosomal RNA
Source: RNAcentral